This is a non-coding RNA of Antechinus flavipes (yellow-footed antechinus), 634 nucleotides long. The record is from the annotation of a RefSeq genome assembly. NCBI's taxonomy places the organism in Eukaryota, Metazoa, Chordata, Mammalia, Dasyuromorphia, Dasyuridae.
CUCCCAGGGAGAGGAUAAGAGGGGCCUGGCAGAGCCCGGACCCAGCUGGUUCUCUCUGGGGAGCAGAGCUCUCGGGGUCCCCUGCACCAUGGCCUGGACUCUUGUCUGCCUCCUCCUGCUCACCUGCUGCUCAGGUUCCUUCUCCCAGCCUGUGCUGACUCAGCCUCCCUCCAUGUCUGUGUCCCUGGGAGCCACGGCCAGACUCACCUGUAUCCUCAGCAGUCAGUAUAGUUAUUGUAUAAUUGAAUGGUUCCAGCAGAGCCCAGGAAAAGCCCCUCAGUACCUCAUGUAUGUUGGUACUGGUGGAGCUGGAGGCAAGGGCGAGGGGGUCCCCAGCUGCUUCUUGGGCUCCAGCUCUGGGGUCGAUCGCUACUUGUCCAUCAGCAGCCUCCAGCCUGAGGACGAGGCCGAUUACUACUGUGGGGCACCUUAUAGUAGUGGUAAUAACUAUGGUUAAAACAGUGCUACAUUCAGUGAGGAAGUGGGACAAAAACCUCCCCACCAGCCCUGACAUGGCCCAGAGUCUGACAACAGCCCAGGCUGCCAGGGGAAAAGAAAGUCUCUGUUUUCUCUCUGUUUCUUCUUCUCCCUCACUUUUUCUUUCUUCCUCUUUCUGUCUCUGCCUCUAUAUUUA